RNAcentral lists this ribosomal RNA (253 nucleotides) under uncultured bacterium. RNAcentral describes it as "partial 16S ribosomal RNA". It matches the Rfam family "Bacterial small subunit ribosomal RNA", at positions 524 to 776 of the family's 1533-position model. The record is from RNAcentral.
GACAGAGGAGCCAAGCGUUGUUCGGAAUUACUGGGCUUAAAGCGCACGUAGGCGGGCGGGAAAGUGUCUUGUGAAAUCCCACGGCUCAACCGUGGAACCGCUGGGCAAACUUCCCGUCUUGAGGUCGGUAGAGGCGCCUGGAACCCUAGGUGGAGCGGUGAAAUGCGUAGAUAUCUAGGGGAACGCCGGAGGCGAAAGCGGGGCGCUGGGCCGGAUCUGACGCUGAGGUGCGAAAGCGUGGGGAGCAAACAGG